ACAGAACAGACGUCCUCGUAAUCAAACCCCUCUAAUUAUAUUGCCACAUUGAAUAAGGAAUUCCAAAGAUCUUCCUCAUUAUUUUUCUAUUCUCAAAACGUCAGUCAAGUGCUGAUUCCAUCCCACCCCUGUUAAGAGGCAAGGUUAAGCAGGUGAACGACCAGGUCUUGGUGGUCUGCAAGGGAGGUGAUGAUGGUGGUUGUUCUGCUUCUUGAAUUAAAAAAUACACAAUAAAGACAAGACUAUUCUUUUAUUGUUUGAUGAUUCUGGAGUGGAGCCAUUUUGUUUUGCCUUUUGAUAUCUGUUGCUGCAUCAGUUAAAGCCAACCGAUACUACACACAUCCACGAAUGACGCCUACACGGUUUACGGGCAGCCAAUUAUCAUGCCUUUUGGCCAUACAAUUGAACAUGAAGAGAUGCUUGAAGUUGUAAUACUUGAAGGUCAAGCACUUGGACAAGAGGAUUCUUUUAUGUCACAUGGCAUUCAUCUCUUGUAACAUUUAGGAGCGGAUUUCUUAAGCUCGGGCUCGGUGGUUGUUAUUGAAAGAUCUUUGACAACAUCAAGAUGCCAUUUUGUGUUUUCUUUAAAGAUAAGUAACUAGAACUCACUAUCUUUCCCUUGGAGGUGUUGAUUUAGAUGUGUAUUAAUAUGUUAUAUAUUAAAUUGAUUCUCCAGAAUUUGCAUCAAGUUUAUCCAACUGACACUAUGAUGUGGCUUCCUAAUGCAUGAGACAGAAACAUCUCUGAAGCCCAUAGAAUGAAAUCAACAGUAUUUGAGGAGUUUUACAUGCCAGGUCACACACAAAAUGACACAGCACAUAUGACAAAGCAUCUCUAGCUUCAAGCACUCUUGACGCCCUUACAGAAAAUUAUGCGAAGCAGCUUAUAUAUUACAUGAAAGUCGGGAUGGCGUACCAAGGAGGAGGUCGUCUUCAUUAAUGGAGUGAAGAUGUAUACGGUGGCAUGACAACACCGCUCGCUGGUCACUUGGCUAUCACUGAAGAAGUGAAUUUCAUCGGUUAGAUGAAUGUGAAAUUCAUCGGUUAGACGUGGCGGUCUUUUGAACGUCAUGAAUAUAUUUUAGUUGAACAUUAUGUUUAUUUUUUUUGAACGGCAUACAUCACCUGGGUAAGUCGUUUACCUACAACCUACACACCCCCGGUUCGAAUCCCCCGCGCAUACAGGCUUUUCAACCCCUCGCCCGAAGGCUUCGCAUGUUUUGCAUACCCUGUGGAUUAAAGUCGGAACCAUCCGGGCGGGAACCCACGCAAGCGUGGUAAACCCUCCCACCUCUGACCAGCUAGGCUGGCCGUCAUUGGCUGAACAUUAUGUUUAUAUGUCUAUCUUAUCACCAUUUUGCACAUUGUUUUUAAUAGUAAUUGAACUUUUAAGUUUAGCUAUCUAUCUUAUCAUCGUUUUUGCACAUUGUAUUUAAUAGUUUUGCAAGAACUGUUUUCCACUAUAUUUAGUGUAUUAUUUUUGUAGUGGUCAUGCUAUAAAACAGAAAACCGAAAUACUUGUAGGAUACUUAAUUGCUCAUUAUGAACCUUGCAUGCGAUGUACGUAAAAAAAAAUACCCGCAGAAACAAAAUGAUAGUGUAGUUUAGUGUUGAAAUCAUAAAAGACUGAAAU
RNAcentral lists this long non-coding RNA (1632 nucleotides) under Helianthus annuus (common sunflower). RNAcentral describes it as "hypothetical non coding rna". Lineage: Eukaryota; Viridiplantae; Streptophyta; Magnoliopsida; Asterales; Asteraceae. The record is from RNAcentral.